UAGGGAAUCUUCGGCAAUGGGGGGAACCCUGACCGAGCAACGCCGCGUGAGUGAAGAAGGUUUUCGGAUCGUAAAGCUCUGUUGUUAAGGAAGAACGAGUGUGAGAAUGGAAAGUUCAUACUGUGACGGUACUUAACCAGAAAGGGACGGCUAACUACGUGCCAGCAGCCGCGGUAAUACGUAGGUCCCGAGCGUUGUCCGGAUUUAUUGGGCGUAAAGCGAGCGCAGGCGGUUAGAUAAGUCUGAAGUUAAAGGCAGUGGCUCAACCAUUGUAGGCUUUGGAAACUGUUUAACUUGAGUGCAGAAGGGGGGAGUGGAAUUCCAUGUGUAGCGGUGAAAUGCGUAGAUAUAUGGAGGAACACCGGUGGCGAAAGGGGCUCUCUGGUGUGUAACUGACGCUGAGGCUCGAAAGCGUGGGGAGCGAACAGG
Molecule: ribosomal RNA, 429 nt
Filed under: Bacteroidota bacterium
Lineage: Bacteria; Pseudomonadati; Bacteroidota
Description: Bacteroidetes bacterium partial 16S ribosomal RNA
Rfam family: Bacterial small subunit ribosomal RNA
Source: RNAcentral